This 500-nucleotide ribosomal RNA is filed under the name uncultured bacterium. RNAcentral describes it as "bacterial SSU rRNA". It matches the Rfam family "Bacterial small subunit ribosomal RNA", at positions 28 to 536 of the family's 1533-position model. The record is from RNAcentral.
GAUGAACGUUGGCGGUGUGCCUAAUACAUGCAAGUCGAACGGAGAUCAUAAAGUAGUAAUACCUUGUGAUUCUUAGUGGCGAACGGGUGAGUAACGCGUUGGUGACCUGCCCCGAAGUGUGGAAUAACAAUUCGAAAGAAUUGCUAAUACCGCAUGUGAUUUUAGAGACUAGAUGCUCUUUAAUUAAAGGAUUUAUUCGCUUCGGGAGGGGCCUGCGUCCCAUCAGCUAGUUGGUAAGGUAAUGGCUUACCAAGGCUAUGACGGGUAGGGGACCUGAGAGGGUGGCCCCCCACAAUGGAACUGAAACACGGUCCAUACACCUACGGGUGGCAGCAGUAGGGAAUAUUAGUAAUGGGCGAAAGCCUGAACUAGCAACACCGCGUGUGCGAAGAAGGCCUUCGGGUUGUAAAGCACUUUUCGGGAGGAUGAGGAAGGACGGUACUCCCGGAAUAAAGUCUCGGCUAACUACGUGCCAGCAGCCGCGGUAAACUAAGUCUACG